RNAcentral lists this long non-coding RNA (3437 nucleotides) under Homo sapiens (human). RNAcentral describes it as "HSALNT0385533". The record is from RNAcentral. Lineage: Eukaryota; Metazoa; Chordata; Mammalia; Primates; Hominidae.
CAAAAAAAAAAAAAAAAAAAGAAUAGAAUAAAUUAACUGUAGUCACCAAGUGCAAUAGAUCUCUUGCACUUAUUCUUCCUGUCUAACUGAAAUUUUGUAUAAUUUGACCAACUCCUGAUUCCCCAACCUCUGCUCCCAAAGACCUCAUUUUAACGUAAUUACCUCUGUGAUGACACUAUCUCCAAAUAUAGUCACAUCCUUAGGUGCUGAGUGUUAAGGUGUCAACAUAUGAAUUUUGGGAAGCACACGAUUCAGCUCACAGUAGCCUCUGUCAGGACAUAACGUUUACAUUGUGAUCCCAGUAACCUCGCAAUAGAGGGAAUGACAUGCAAAGAUUCUGAGGAAGAAAAUUCCAGGCAGGGAAUUCUGUUGAGCAAUGGCCCUGAAAUGGGAGUGAACAGGGUGCGUUUGAGGAACCAGAGACCAGUGGCAGAGGGCAUGGGGUGCAGAAUGCAAAGGGAGGACAUGAAGUCGCAGAGUUCCGGCCAAAUUGCAAGAUAAAAAGUUUGCCUUUAAUCCAUUCUUUUGACAUCUAAGUUCUGGAAGUCAAGGCUAUGGACUGAUCUAAAACCAUGAAGUUUUCCCUUCUGGAGCCCAAUCUUGUUUGGACUGCUGCCUGAUCUCUGGAGGAGUGAUGAGUCCACACCAAGAAGCAGUGAAUAGCAGUGAUCUACCUGUGAACACUUGUUUCUGAAAAGGUGAAGGGUAUGGUGCUAACAUUAUAUUGACCAAGCUGGUUUUGAACUCCUGGUUUCAAGAGCUCCUCCCCCCUCAGCCUACCAAAGUGCUGGGAUUACAGGUGAGCUCCACCAUGCCUAGCCUCAUAUAUAGCAUAAGGAGGAAGUCCUGCCUGAAAAUAGCUGCAGCUAGAAACUUUUCACUCUGUCCUCAUUUGGCCAUAUAUGAGUUGGUUCACAUCUUCAGUCACUCAGGACCCAAAGGGGUGAAGCCUGGAGUUCUAUUUUCCACUCACUGGUGCUGGGGCAAAAACUUUCCUCAAACUAUUAGUUUAAUGCCUAGCAAUGCUAAUUUUUAGUGAGAAACUUAAAAUUACUUAUCAUAACAAGACUUUAAGAUUUUAAAUUACCAAAUAAAAAAUUAAAAUUAUAACAUGGGUACUUUCUCUAAUUUUGGGGGGGUUCAAGUACCUAUAUUAUAUAUUGAAACCUACUGUUUCUGUAAGCCCUACUCUUAAGUCAAAACAGCCUUGAUGUUAUUGUGAAAAGGUACUUAGCAUUAAUCCUACCCUUAGGCAAAUUUAUAUAGUGAUUUCAAUUGUCCUACACAUUACUUUCCUGUGAUAAGUGUCUGGGUUUAGGAGGUAACAGUGCGGGGAUCCACCAUCUUCAGCCAUCUGAGACAUAGCUUCUAUUUGUAAGUCCCUCUUAAAUGUUUCCUUCUGAGAAACUGUCAGCCUCUUUCUUCAACCUUUCAACAUCCUUGGCCUUUAAAGAUAGGUUUACAUAUACCUACUCAUGACAAAACAAGGUUAUAUAUAUAUGGUCUGUCCAUUACUAGAACAUUGUUAUGUGGUUCAUGACUGUAAUGUGUGGCACAUGUAGUUUUGUACAUGAAUAGUAUACUUUAUAUAGUAUAUUUUAUAUAGCUGCUUUCUAUUACACAUCACUAAAAUACAUGUUCAGUAAGUGCUCACUUAAUGUCAUUGAUAGAUUCUUGGAAACUGACACUUUAAGUAAAACAAUGUACUAUAUAAUAAAACCAAUUUUACCAUUGGUUAAUUGAUACAAACAAGAGUUAACUUCCUAUGGUAUGUAGUAUUUUGUUUCACUUAAAGUCAGUUUCCAAGAACCUAUCAAUAAAGUGAGAAUAUACUGUAAUUAGUAUUAUAGUAUAUAGUACAUUACUGCAUUAUACUAUUAUAGAAUGUUAUUGUAGUCUUAGCAGUUGGUAGGGUAAUGUGUUUCAGUUUCCCCCAAGAUCGCAGAAUUAUUCAGACAAACCAAUAACAACCUCCUGUGGGAACCAGGAGCAUCUCAUCCCUUGAUACUACAGAGCCUUCCCCGGACAACUCCUGUUUGUUCUCUCUGCUCCCAAGAGCAAUCCCUGUGUGGGUCUAUUUACCUUACAUAAUUCCCUCUUUCCAUGAUUAUAUGUAAUGAAUAACUGCUGUCAAUCUCAUUAGUCCAGUGAGUGGUGCCAUGAUUUUAACUGCUCCAGUAGCCCUAGGGUGGUAAUUUUUCCCUCAAACAAUUCACAACACAAACUGGAUUAACCACCCAUAACUGAGGACAGCUGCUCAACUGUAACUGCUUUUGGCCUACUGGUUUCAUAAUACAUUAAAACCCACCUCAGUCAGAAGCACCAACUGCUGGUAGGCUUUUGCUUUGGUCUAAAAAGCAGUUUGGGGCCUUUAUCAAGAGUUGCCUUCCCUGCCCACACUAAAGCACACUCAUCACCUAGACAUAAAUGGUCAAUUGACUCUUUUCCAACCUGAUGUGUAGUCAGGUUUAGCCUGUGUUUGGCAGGCAGUUUGCUGCCUGUCAAGGCAGUGAAAACACAGCACCUUAAUCCGUCAGCACUUCAGUCCUGAUUUCCAAGAGUCCGGCUAUAUCCCUGUGAUCACUUCAUCUGAUCUGGUUAUCAUUACUAAAUGCCUGGGUAGUCAUCUGAACAUUGUUUAUUAUUGCACACUCUCAGGACAGGCCCAGGGAUAGUCUUUUGUAAAACUGCAGAAACAAAAGAGACUUUCACUUUAGAAAGAAUUAUGCAUGUCACUCAGUUGCUCUAACAAGUGCUACUGUCAUGCAAGCAAGAACAGUGGCCUUCUCUUUUCUGAGCUUCUGCUUCCUUUGCUGCUGUCAUGAGCUCUCCUGAUGAGGUGCAUAUUGCUUGUGCCUUAUGGUUCAGGCACUGAUGAGUAAUCAAAAGGAAAAAGACCAUUUGCUAUGAGGCCCUCCCAAAAGCCCUAUCCAGAGGGGUUUGUGGACCUUUGUAAUUAGUAUUAUGUGUAAUAAAUACACAUUUAUUUUUUGAACAAUUUUUGAGAGUUUUCAUAUUAGUUGUUGAUUUACUUUUAUACCCCAUUUAAUUCUUCUCUCUCACUCUUCUCCUUCUCAGACUCAGUCAUUUCACAGGUCUCUAUGGCUCAGUUUAUUUUCUUUAAAUUUUGUAGAUUUACUUUUGUACCCCAUUUAAGUUUUUCUAUCUCUCCCCUUUUCUCAAACUCAGUCAUCCCACAGGUCUGUAAGGCUCUGUUCAUUUUCCUUAAACUUUUUAAAACUUUUCAAAUUGUAUCUUCAGAUUGGAUAAUUUCUAUUGCUGUGUCUUCUGUUUCUGAUCUAUACAUAAGCUCAAAUUAUUAUUUUUAUUUCUUAUUUUUAUAUUUGGGUAUUUUUCAUUUCUUUGCUGAGUUUCCACAUUUGUUCAUUUGUAAGAAUACUUUCCUUUGUCACCAUGAGCAUACUUAUAAUAGCUGC